GACGAACGCUGGCGGCGUGCUUAACACAUGCAAGUCGAACGGAAAGGCCCUGCUUGCAGGGUACUCGAGUGGCGAACGGGUGAGUAACACGUGGGUGAUCUGCCCUGCACUUCGGGAUAAGCCUGGGAAACUGGGUCUAAUACCGGAUAGGAGCCAUUUUUAGUGUGAUGGUUGGAAAGUUUUUUCGGUGUAGGAUGAGCUCGCGGCCUAUCAGCUUGUUGGUGGGGUAAUGGCCUACCAAGGCGGCGACGGGUAGCCGGCCUGAGAGGGUGGACGGCCACAUUGGGACUGAGAUACGGCCCCGACUCCUACGGGAGGCAGCAGUGGGGAAUAUUGCACAAUGGGCGCAAGCCUGAUGCAGCGACGCCGCGUGGGGGAUGACGGCCUUCGGGUUGUAAACUCCUUUCGCUAGGGACGAAGCUUUUUGUGACGGUACCUAGAUAAGAAGCACCGGCUAACUACGUG
RNAcentral lists this ribosomal RNA (465 nucleotides) under uncultured bacterium. RNAcentral describes it as "partial 16S ribosomal RNA". It matches the Rfam family "Bacterial small subunit ribosomal RNA", at positions 28 to 507 of the family's 1533-position model. The record is from RNAcentral.